AUUGAACGCUGGCGGCAGGCCUAACACAUGCAAGUCGAGCGGAUGAAGGGAGCUUGCUCCUGGAUUCAGCGGCGGACGGGUGAGUAAUGCCUAGGAAUCUGCCUGGUAGUGGGGGAUAACGUCCGGAAACGGGCGCUAAUACCGCAUACGUCCUGAGGGAGAAAGUGGGGGAUCUUCGGACCUCACGCUAUCAGAUGAGCCUAGGUCGGAUUAGCUAGUUGGUGGGGUAAAGGCCUACCAAGGCGACGAUCCGUAACUGGUCUGAGAGGAUGAUCAGUCACACUGGAACUGAGAUACGGUCCAGACUCCUACGGGAGGCAGCAGUGGGGAAUAUUGGGCAAAGGGCGAAAGCCUGAUCCAGCCAUGCCGCGUGUGUGAAGAAGGUCUUCGGAUUGUAAAGCACUUUAAGUUGGGAGGAAGGGCAGUAAGUUAAUACCUUGCUGUUUUGACGUUACCAACAGAAUAAGCACCGGCUAACUUCGUG
Molecule: ribosomal RNA, 484 nt
Filed under: uncultured bacterium
Lineage: Bacteria
Description: partial 16S ribosomal RNA
Rfam family: Bacterial small subunit ribosomal RNA
Source: RNAcentral